CACUUAAAGCUUAAUGUUAUAUUCUUUCCAGCUCUUAGAGUUCUUCUAGCCAGUUUGGUGCAUGUUUUGCUGCCAGUUGGAGUGACAGAUUUGAUAAUGCGCACGUCUUGUGCCUUUUAUUAGCAUGCUAUUGUCAAAGAAGCACGGUGGCCUUCAUGUGGUCUUCAUGGUGACGAGCCUGUGAUUCUUUUCCUCAGGGCCCCAGAGGAGAGACCGGUGAGAAGGGAGAAGGCGGCCCACCCGGAGCUGCUGGACCCGCCGGUGCCCGCGGACCCCCUGGAGAUGACGGUCCUAAGGGCAACCCCGGUCCUGUCGGCUUCCCAGGAGACCCUGGUCCCCCCGGAGAGCCUGGUGCUGCUGGUCUUGACGGUUUAUCAGGUGACAAGGGAGACGAUGGAGAUGCCGGACAACCGGUAAGUGUUGCGUGAUCUGGAAUUGUAAAAACUAAAAUGUGCCAAGUAAACAAAAUAUCCAGCCAUAAUGUAUUUCCCAUGAACACAAUGAUGUGCAAGAGUAGA
Molecule: long non-coding RNA, 518 nt
Filed under: Cottoperca gobio
Lineage: Eukaryota; Metazoa; Chordata; Actinopteri; Perciformes; Bovichtidae
Description: lncRNA (ENSCGOG00000016146.1)
Source: RNAcentral